This 151-nucleotide non-coding RNA is filed under the name Nomascus leucogenys (northern white-cheeked gibbon). Lineage: Eukaryota; Metazoa; Chordata; Mammalia; Primates; Hylobatidae. The record is from Rfam by way of RNAcentral.
GCUGGGUGUGAUGGUAUACGCCUGUAGUCCCAGCUACUCAGGAGGCUGAGGUAGGAGGAUCACUUGAGCCCAGGAGUUUUUGAGGCUGCAGUGAGCUAUGAUAGUGCCACUGUACUUGUAGCCUGGGUGACAGAGUGAGACCCUGUCUCUA